GGCGGCAGGCCUAACACAUGCAAGUCGAGGGCAGCACGGAGGAGCUUGCUCCCUGGUGGCGAGCGGCGGACGGGUGAGUAAUGCAUAGGAAUCUGCCCGGUAGUGGGGGAUAACGUGGGGAAACCCACGCUAAUACCGCAUACGUCCUACGGGAGAAAGCGGGGGAUCUUCGGACCUCGCGCUAUCGGAUGAGCCUAUGUCGGAUUAGCUAGUUGGUAAGGUAACGGCUUACCAAGGCAACGAUCCGUAGCUGGUCUGAGAGGAUGAUCAGCCACACUGGGACUGAGACACGGCCCAGACUCCUACGGGAGGCAGCAGUGGGGAAUAUUGGACAAUGGGCGAAAGCCUGAUCCAGCCAUGCCGCGUGUGUGAAGAAGGCUUUCGGGUUGUAAAGCACUUUCAGCGAGGAAGAAAGCCUCUGGGUCCAAUACCCCAGAGGAAGGACAUCACUCGCAGAAGAAGCACCGGCUAACUCCGUGCCAGCAGCCGCGGUAAUACGGAGGGUGCGAGCGUUAAUCGGAAUUACUGGGCGUAAAGCGCGCGUAGGUGGCUUGGCACGCCGGUUGUGAAAGCCCCGGGCUCAACCUGGGAACGGCAUCCGGAACGGCCAGGCUAGAGUGCAGGAGAGGAAGGUAGAAUUCCCGGUGUAGCGGUGAAAUGCGUAGAGAUCGGGAGGAAUACCAGUGGCGA
This 690-nucleotide ribosomal RNA is filed under the name bacterium L9. Its description in RNAcentral is "bacterial SSU rRNA". It matches the Rfam family "Bacterial small subunit ribosomal RNA", at positions 38 to 718 of the family's 1533-position model. The record is from RNAcentral.